This 492-nucleotide ribosomal RNA is filed under the name uncultured bacterium. Its description in RNAcentral is "partial 16S ribosomal RNA". It matches the Rfam family "Bacterial small subunit ribosomal RNA", at positions 29 to 507 of the family's 1533-position model. The record is from RNAcentral.
AGUGAACGCUGGCGGUAGGCCUAACACAUGCAAGUCGAACGGCAGCACAGUAAGAGCUUGCUCUUACGGGUGGCGAGUGGCGGACGGGUGAGGAAUACAUCGGAAUCUACUUUUUCGUGGGGGAUAACGUAGGGAAACUUACGCUAAUACCGCAUACGACCUACGGGUGAAAGCAGGGGAUCGUCGGACCUUGCGCGAUUGAAUGAGCCGAUGUCGGAUUAGCUAGUUGGCGGGGUAAAGGCCCACCAAGGCGACGAUCCGUAGCUGGUCUGAGAGGAUGAUCGGCCACCCUGGAACGUAGGCACGGUCCAGACGCCUACGGGAGGCAGCAGUGGGGAAUAUUGGACAAUGGGCGCAAGCCUGAUCCAGCCAUACCGCGUGGGUGAAGAAGGCCUUCGGGUUGUAAAGCCCUUUUGUUGGGAAAGAAAAGCAGCAGGUUAAUACCCCGCUGUUCUGACGGUACCCAAAGAAUAAGCACCGGCUAACUUCGUG